AUGUUUUCAUCUCUAGCAUGGUGGUUAGUCACAACUGAAUCUUUCAGAGGAGGAAAGAGCAGACACUAGGCACAGAACAAAGAGCAAAUGAAACAGGAACUGUGGAAUAACACUGUGUUCCCAAAGAAAACAUAACUGCCAUAGAUCACAGAAUGAAAGCCCCAGAGCACGCAGCAGAGAAGUCCAGCAACAGGAGUCAACAUUUACAGAAAACCCUGUAGGAAGACUGUGGCACUACCAACUGAUCAACAUGUUACAGAACUCAUUUUAUACUGCAGCCAGGCUGAGGAGGGCCCAUCACCUGCACAUAAAUAUUUGGACAGUGGCGACAACUUGAAGACAGCUAGCUGCAGAGUGAUAUUCCAGAAUAAGAGUUUUGAAGCUCCAGAUGACUAGCUGACCUGGGUAUUAAUGCUGGAUAUAGCAACGUCCUUCUAUGUCCUUCUAAAUUUUCUUCAUGAGUAGUGAUAAGUUAUGCUGAGAAAAAUUCUUGAACCUACAGUUAUACAACAUUGUUCUUGCCGCCUUUCAAAAAUGGACAAUGUCUCCCAUAUGGAAUAUCUACUGAUGAUCUUGCAAGAAGGUGAAUAAAAAAUCCAAUGAAGACAUAAAACGAGUUUCAUUUAAAAAAUCUGGUAAAAUGGAAGUUUGCUUUACACAAACAGUAAAGAAGCCUUGGAAGAUAAUGUUGACUUCCCAUGCUCAAAAGUACUCUGACUCAGGAAGAUAGCUCCAGCCCUUCAAAGGAAGGGCUGUCUGCAAUAAAUGCCCAUGGAGACCUCUCAGCAAUUCCAUAAGAUAAGUGAAUUGGCUUAAAUCAAAUGUUUUGCAGUUCCAUUUACAGAGCAUUUACUGGCCAUCGUGUACUACUCAAGUUACUAGAACACUAAGUUGACUCAUGCUUGGAAAUACUGGUUUUAUGUUGCUAUCAGAGUAUUGUCAUAAAUCCACCCACAAUUACAAAGAGUCCUACUCUGCUGCUGUAGCUACCUUUAACUCCUUGCCCUCAGCAAAUUGUAUGCCUAGGGAGAUGGACUACUUCGGCCUUGAGAAAUUUCCAAUUAGGUCAUUUUGAGAAGCAGUCUGGAUGUGUGGUCUGAAAUAGCAUUUCCAGUUUUUGCCUAUUUUUAUUUUUGAGAACUGCUUGCAAAUAAAUGCCACUGAGUUUGUUAGGA
This 1175-nucleotide long non-coding RNA is filed under the name Homo sapiens (human). Its description in RNAcentral is "long independently transcribed non-coding RNA 2101 (LINC02101)". The record is from RNAcentral. Lineage: Eukaryota; Metazoa; Chordata; Mammalia; Primates; Hominidae.